Molecule: ribosomal RNA, 494 nt
Filed under: uncultured bacterium
Lineage: Bacteria
Description: partial 16S ribosomal RNA
Rfam family: Bacterial small subunit ribosomal RNA
Source: RNAcentral
GACGAACGCUGGCGGCGUGCUUAACACAUGCAAGUCGAACGGUGAAGCGCCUUCCUUUUUGGUGGGUGUGGAUGAGUGGCGAACGGGUGAGUAACACGUGAGUAACCUGCCCCCUUCUUCUGGAUAACCGCAUGAAAGUGUGGCUAAUACGGGAUAUUCUGGGUCUGUCGCAUGAUGGGUCUGGGAAAGAUAUUGUUUCGGUGGGGGAUGGGCUCGCGGCCUAUCAGCUUGUUGGUGGGGUGAUGGCCUACAAAGGCGGUGACGGGUAGCCGGCCUGGUAGGUGCGGCGGUCCCGCAAGGACAGAGACACGGGACAGACUCAUACGGGAGGCAGCUGUGGGGAAUAUUGGACAGUGGGCGCAAGCGUGAUGCAGCGACGCCGCGUGGGGGAAGGGGGCCUGCGGGUUGUAAACCUCUUUCGCCAGUGAAGCAGGCCUGCCUGGUGUGUGGGUGGGUUGACGGUAGCUGGAAAAGAAGCGCCGGCUAACUACGUG